This 72-nucleotide transfer RNA is filed under the name Phrynosoma platyrhinos (Desert horned lizard). RNAcentral's name for it is "tRNA-OTHER". Lineage: Eukaryota; Metazoa; Chordata; Lepidosauria; Squamata; Phrynosomatidae. The record is from RNAcentral.
GCCAGAAUGGCAUAGUGGUUUGAGUGUUGGAGUACGACUCUGGAGACCAGGAUUCGAUUCCCAGCUUGGCCA